This 428-nucleotide ribosomal RNA is filed under the name uncultured bacterium. Its description in RNAcentral is "bacterial SSU rRNA". It matches the Rfam family "Bacterial small subunit ribosomal RNA", at positions 356 to 776 of the family's 1533-position model. The record is from RNAcentral.
GGGGAAUAUUGCACAAUGGGGGAAACCCUGAUGCAGCAAUGCCGCGUGUGUGAAGAAGGCUUUAGGGUUGUAAAGCACUUUCAAUAGAGAAGAAAAGCUUAGGGUUAAUACCCCUAAGUAUUGACGUAACCUAUAGAAGAAGCACCGGCUAAAUCCGUGCCAGCAGCCGCGGUAAUACGGAUGGUGCGAGCGUUAAUCGGAAUUACUGGGCGUAAAGAGCACGUAGGCUGUUUUAUAAGUCGGAUGUGAAAUCCCCGGGCUUAACCUGGGAACUGCAUCCGAAACUAUUUAACUAGAGUAUGGGAGAGGUAAGUAGAAUUUCCGGUGUAGCGGUGAAAUGCGUAGAUAUCGGAAGGAAUACCAGUGGCGAAGGCGGCUUACUGGACCAAUACUGACGCUGAGGUGCGAAAGCGUGGGGAGCGAACAGG